RNAcentral lists this ribosomal RNA (468 nucleotides) under uncultured bacterium. RNAcentral describes it as "partial 16S ribosomal RNA". It matches the Rfam family "Bacterial small subunit ribosomal RNA", at positions 28 to 507 of the family's 1533-position model. The record is from RNAcentral.
GACGAACGCUGGCGGCGUGCUUAACACAUGCAAGUCGAACGGAAAGGCCCUGCUCUUGUGGGGUGCUCGAGUGGCGAACGGGUGAGUGACACGUGAGUAACCUGCCCUUGUCUUUGGGAUAUCUUCAGGAAACUGGGGCUAAUACCGGAUAGGAGCUCUUGCUGCAUGGUGGGGGUUGGAAAGUUUCGGCGGUUGGGGAUGGAUUCGCUGCUUAUCAGCUUGUUGGUGGGGUAGUGGCUUACCAAGGCUUUGACGGGUAGCCGGCCUGAGAGGGUGGCCGGCCACAUGGGGCCUGAGAUACGCAGCAGAAUGGUACGGGAGGCAGUAGGGGGGAACAUGGCGGAACGGGCGGAAGCGUGAGACAGAAAUGCUGGGAGCGGGAAGACGGCCUACGGGGUGUAAACAGCUGUCGAAUGAGACGAAGCGGGAGUGACGGUAAUGGGUAAGAAAGCACCGGCUAACUACGUG